UUGGUUUUUUUGUUGCUUAUAUUCUUUAAUUCCACAAAUCUUACAUAAUUUAGGCUGUGAUUUUUACUUAGACUAUUAUAAGGUUCUGACCCAUGUGAUCAGGAAAAACUUCAAGACAACAGUUCAUUAUGAUUUUAAAUUUGCUGCCCAAUGGGAUGUAACUAUAAUGUAAUUGACAGUCUUUGAAACAAACAUACUAGAAGUUAUACAUCCAGGAGGCCAUUGUGCCCUUCAAGCAGUCACCUAGGAAGGCUAUGGAUCUGUUCCACUAAUGCUGCCAGGGCUUACAUGUUGUGGAAUGCCUCUUUUUAAACUGUCUCUGACCUACUAAGAAAUAAUAGAGUAAAUGACAUACUGUUUUGAAUAUGCUGAAUCAUGGAGUAGAUGAAUUUGAUUUUGGCUUAAAUGUUGUGGAAUGCCUCUUUUUAAACUGCCUCUUAACUGAUAAGAAAUAAUAGAGUAAAUGAUAUAUUAUUUUGAAUAUGCUGAAUCGUAGUGUAGAUGGAUUUGAUCUUGGCGAGUAGUCAGAUAUCAUUCCAGGUCCCGCUGCAAUGAAUACAAUUUGGAGUGGUGUUUGGAGUGACAAUUGGAUAUAAAAUAACAAGAUGGGCUUUCUUGAGUGAUACAUAAACUAACCUUGAAGUUGAUUGUCAAAGAGGAAUUCCAGAACCUUGGACCUUGGAAUAAAUGUAUAAGCUUCCAAGACAUACCUUGUAGAUGAAAAAUAUACUCCUAUCAUGGAACUCUUUAUAAGCAAACUUCUAAAUUUUGGUGAUUUGAAUGCUGUGUCUCCUGGAAAUCUGGAUAAAGUGCUGCCUUUUUUAUUACUGUGAGCCUAUAUCUCAGGCACAGAAAAGUUGGAGAAGAGGAAGCCAAGAAGCAGUGUGACGUUUCCUCACAUUGUUGUGUGGCCCUGCUGGUUCCCUUGAUCUGCAGACCUGAUGCUUCUUAAGAUGCAGUUAACUGUCAUAUUCAGGGCCCAAGGCUUGAAUGGGAAAUCUCCAAGAGUUUUUGUGAGCUUUUCCCACAAAAUGAGAAUUUUAAUUUUUAUUCUGAUAAUUAAAAUAAUAUUAGCUCUGGAUAAAAAUUUCAAAUAACAUUGAGAUUUAGAAAUUACACAAUGUCAUAGUCCCAACCCUAAGAGACAACCAUCAUCAAGAAUUUAGUGUGAGGAUCCUGCCAGACAUGUUGUUUUUCAUAUAUUAAAAAACACAUAAAACAUCUCCUAUAGUCAGCAAUACUGUUAUGCAUUUAAAAAGUUAAGGGGGUGGAUCCCAUGUUAAAUGUUCUUAACAUACACACCCAUACACAAAAGGAAACAGGGAAACUUUUGGAGGUAAUGGAUAUGUUUAUUACUCCGACGUUGUGGUGAUGGUUUCACAGGUACAUGUGUCAUAUGUACAAAUGUCCAUUAAAUAUGUGCAAGUUUAUUGUAUGUCAAUUAUAUCUCAAUAAAACUGUUUUUUAAAUUCCCCCCACAAAAAAACACAUGAACAAAGCCAGAAUGUGUCACACUAACAAACGUCUAUGAAAUGUGUACUCCUUACCCCAAAGCCCACCAACCCUCUGCCUGUGCCUGUUCUGAUUAUCAGUCAAGACCAUUUCCCAAUGGCCCAACAGUAACCAAGUAAAGCGAUGAGCCAAAAUGAUUUUUGCCUUGUCGAAGAGCAGUUCUGUGUUUAUCACUUAAUAAUGCUUUAGACAUCUUUUCUAGUCAAUACAUCUAUUCUCAACCUUUUUUCUCUCACAUGCCAUUUCUCAGGACACGCUGCUCCCAGUAGCCAUGCCCUGCCCAACCUGCGCGACUAUAUAUGGAUGCCUGGUUGCUCUUUAUCUCUUUUCUCUGAACCAUCUUUGCCCCAACUGAUAAUGAGAGAAGAAAAGCCAAGGGGCCCAUUUAUAUGGAGAGCUGUCUCAGCAGGGACUUCUGCUAUAGAUGUGCCCCAAAUGGUAAAACUAGACUCAGUACCCACUAGGAGGGGUCCAGCCUGCUCUGGCUGAACAGGUCCUUGUUGCACACUCACUCUGCAUGUGGUGGAGACUCUCACGGAGAUCUGAGUCUGUCCAUACAAGUCACUGUGAUAAGUCCAAAAUUAAUAAGUGUACAUCAUAAUAGUUUAGUUACAGAUAAAGCAUUUGAUAUAAUUAUAAGUGGGAUUUUUUUGGUAAACAAAGCCUAUUUAAGGUGAAGCAAAUGAUUUUUAAGGCAGAAAUAUAUUCCCUAUAGUUUAAAAAUUAUCACUCAUGAAGAAGUAUUCUCUGCAUUCUUCUGAGAAGAAUCUUACAUAGUAGUAGUGCUAUGUGUAAGCAUUUUCUCUUUACUUUUGAAUUUUAACAGUGCAUACUGGAAAAAAUUAAGUGGUAUUCCAUUAUAAUGAUGUCUUAGUUAAUAUAAAAUGUAUUAAAGUGUGGAGUUAACAGUGACCAGUUAAUACAUUUAAUUUCCAGAAAUGAAUACCAGUUAUUAAUGGUGAAUAUGGGUGUUGCCAGGAAUGGAAAUUCAUUGUACAUUUUUGA
Molecule: non-coding RNA, 2517 nt
Organism: Manis javanica (Malayan pangolin)
Lineage: Eukaryota; Metazoa; Chordata; Mammalia; Pholidota; Manidae
Source: RefSeq, a predicted model, not a curated record